Molecule: ribosomal RNA, 385 nt
Filed under: Clostridioides difficile
Lineage: Bacteria; Bacillati; Bacillota; Clostridia; Peptostreptococcales; Peptostreptococcaceae
Description: bacterial LSU rRNA
Rfam family: Bacterial large subunit ribosomal RNA
Source: RNAcentral
GUAGGAUAAGCUAAGCACACUGUUGGUUAUGUGUGCCCAAGCAUUGAGGCAGUCAAAGUAGGCAAAUCCGCUUUGAUAAUGCUGGGAUGUGAUGGGGAGCGAAAUUUAGUAGCGAAGUAGCUGAUUUCACACUGUCAAGAAAAGUCUCUAUCGAGGUUAAAGGUACCCGUACCGCAAACCGACACAGGUGGGUGAGGAGAGUAUCCGAAGGCCAGCGAGAGAACUGGUGUUAAGGAACUCGGCAAAAUGACCCCGUACCCUAGGGUUAAGGGGUGCCACCAUCAGGUCGCCGCAGAGAAUAGGCCCAAGCGACUGUUUACCAAAAACAUAGGUUUCUGCUAAGUCGCAAGACGAUGUAUAGGAGCUGACGCCUGCCCGGUGCUGG